RNAcentral lists this ribosomal RNA (433 nucleotides) under uncultured bacterium. RNAcentral describes it as "partial 16S ribosomal RNA". It matches the Rfam family "Bacterial small subunit ribosomal RNA", at positions 29 to 507 of the family's 1533-position model. The record is from RNAcentral.
AACGAACGCUGGCGGCAUGCCUAACACAUGCAAGUCGAACGAGACCUUCGGGUCUAGUGGCGCACGGGUGCGUAACGCGUGGGAAUCUGCCCUUGGGUUCGGAAUAACAGUUGGAAACGACUGCUAAUACCGGAUGAUGACGUAAGUCCAAAGAUUUAUCGCCCAAGGAUGAGCCCGCGUAGGAUUAGCUAGUUGGUGAGGUAAAGGCUCACCAAGGCGACGAUCCUUAGCUGGUCUGAGAGGAUGAUCAGCCACACUGGGACUGAGACACGGCCCAGACUCCUACGGGAGGCAGCAGUGGGGAAUAUUGGACAAUGGGCGAAAGCCUGAUCCAGCAAUGCCGCGUGAGUGAUGAAGGCCUGAGGGUUGUAAAGCUCUUUUACCCGGGAUGAUAAUGACAGUACCGGGAGAAUAAGCUCCGGCUAACUCCGUG